RNAcentral lists this ribosomal RNA (206 nucleotides) under uncultured bacterium. RNAcentral's name for it is "partial 16S ribosomal RNA". It matches the Rfam family "Bacterial small subunit ribosomal RNA", at positions 568 to 774 of the family's 1533-position model. The record is from RNAcentral.
CGCGUAGGCGGCUUUUCAAGUCGGGGGUGAAAGCCUGUGGCUCAACCACAGAAUUGCCUUCGAUACUGUUAGGCUUGAGACCGGAAGAGGUGAGUGGAACUGCGAGUGUAGAGGUGAAACUCGUAGAUAUUCGCAAGAACACCAGUGGCGAAGGCGGCUCACUGGUCCGGUUCUGACGCUGAGGCGCGAAAGCGUGGGAGCAAACA